AUCACCAGGGAACUUGUUAAAAUGCAGAUUUUAAUUCAGUGGGAUUGGGUGGGUGCUGAGAAUUCUACAUUUCUAACAAGAUCCCAGGUGAUGGUGA
RNAcentral lists this microRNA precursor (97 nucleotides) under Pteropus alecto (black flying fox). RNAcentral's name for it is "mir-544 microRNA precursor family". It matches the Rfam family "mir-544 microRNA precursor family". Lineage: Eukaryota; Metazoa; Chordata; Mammalia; Chiroptera; Pteropodidae. The record is from Rfam by way of RNAcentral.